RNAcentral lists this ribosomal RNA (254 nucleotides) under uncultured bacterium. RNAcentral describes it as "partial 16S ribosomal RNA". It matches the Rfam family "Bacterial small subunit ribosomal RNA", at positions 524 to 776 of the family's 1533-position model. The record is from RNAcentral.
UACGUAGGGUGCAAGCGUUGUCCGGAAUUAUUGGGCGUAAAGAGCUCGUAGGCGGUUUGUCGCGUCUGCUGUGAAAACGCGGGGCUCAACUCCGCGCCUGCAGUGGGUACGGGCAGACUAGAGUGCAGUAGGGGAGACUGGGAAUUCCUGGUGUAGCGGUGGAAUGCGCAGAUAUCAGGAGGAACACCGGUGGCGAAGGCGGGUCUCUGGGCUGUAACUGACGCUGAGGAGCGAAAGCGUGGGUAGCGAACAGG